Long non-coding RNA from Brassica napus (rape), 2770 nucleotides. RefSeq lists it as uncharacterized. Lineage: Eukaryota; Viridiplantae; Streptophyta; Magnoliopsida; Brassicales; Brassicaceae. The transcript is spliced from 3 exons. The record is from RefSeq and is a predicted model, not a curated record.
CUAAAAAUCACAAAUAUAAAACUAAAAAGGAAAAACCUAACCUCUUUUUUUUUUUGUCAGCACCUAAUACCUUAAUUGGAAAUUUAGAAUAUAAAACAUAAUCUAAAAACAUAAUACGGUAUCGGGUUUCGGGUUUUACUGGGCUUUUGCGGGUUUCUAAAUAUUGGGUUUUUCACAAAAUUCAAACUGGAUUUUUUCUGGGUCACCGGGUUUACCGGUUCAACCGCGGGUCCGGGUCGGGUUUCAAAACACUGCCUGCAUGGUAUGGUCAAUAAUUUAAACAUUACAAAUAUUUUUCUCAUUCCUGAAAUGGAGAGGCCUACAAGGAUGACGGAGCUACGGCCGAUUAGUCUAUGCAAUGUAAAAUAUAAGAUCAUUUCUAAGGUGUUAUGCCAGAGAUUUAAGACCUGCCUACCCACACUUAUUUCGGAAACACAAUCGGGUUUGGUUUUGUACCUGGAAGGUUGAUUUCAGACAAAAUCCUUAUAUCACAAUAGAUUUUUCAUGGUUUAAUGACUAAUAAGUUAUGCAAGAACAAGUUUAUGACCAUAAAAACAUAUAAGCGUCCCAAAUUGCGAACAUUAAAAAUGUUGAGGGAGAGAAACAACUAACAUGAAUAAAGGUUGCAAGGGUAUGCCCUUCGAUUGCUAUUUGCAGAUGAUAGUCUUUUUUUGGUAAGACACAAAAAUAGGAGUGUCAAACUAUUAUCAGGAUUUUAUAAGAGUAUGAGGAAAUAUCGGGCCAAAUGAUAAAUUUCCAAAAAAUUUAUAUUCAAUUUGGACAGAAGAUUGAGGAAUCCAUUCGGCAGAAGCUUGGGGAUAUUUUAGGGAUUUAGAACAUAGAUGGGAUGGUUCAUAUUUGGGAAUGCCAUAAAAAAUUUGGGGGAUCAAAGACACAAGUUUUUUGUUUUAUCCAAGACCGUUUAAAUAAUCUGGCUAAUGGAUGAACUUUUCAAUUAUUCACCAAAUGGGGAAAGAAAUUGAUUCUAAAAUCAGUAUUUACUGCUUUACCAAAUCACAUAAUGUCUUGUUUUCGUCUACCAAAGGUCGUAACAAAUAAAUUGACGAGUGCAGUGGCACAAUUUUGGUUGAGUUUAAAGGAAAAUACAAAAGGCAUGACUGGAAAUCAUGGGAAAAAUUAUGCAAUCCCAAGGAUGAAGGAAGCAUGUGGUUUAAAGAUCUUACAAAUUUAAACAAGACCAUAAUUGGAAAGCAAUUUUGGCGCUUGAUAAAGAAAUCAACUGCAUUAUUUCCUCGCGUAUUCAAAGGACAGUACUCCAGGAACGCCUCCCCCGGAAACCAAUUAGAUCAUAUUCACCGUCAUAUGGCUGGCGCAGUAUCGUCUUUGCUAGAUCUCUGGUUAGCUAAAGACUAAUCAAAAAGUUUGGAUCAAGAUCAUCUAUUUCAGUAUGGAAUAAUCUUUUGCUUCCAACCAAUCGCCCAAGACCAUCAAAUAGAAAUUAACACAACCUUUACCCUGAUCUUACAGUGAAUUUUUUUUUAUCAAUGUAACUUCGCAAACAUUGAAUUUACAAGCAAUUCAGGUUUUUUUUUGUGGAUCCCAAUGAUGUAAAGAUUAUAGAAAGCAUACCAUUGAGCUGGACAAAGACAAAAGAUAAAGAUGUAUGACACUUCACCUAAUGGGAAGUACACAUGAAAUAUGGAUAUAUACAUAUUUCAAAUGAACUAAAUUAAGGAAAUAAAACUAAUAAAACUUAGUUCUAACUAGAAUUAAAAGUAAUAGUGCUUUGAUUUAAAAAAAAAUAUGUGUAACUCAGUAUAACCCGCAAAAUGAGCAACUUAAACAAUCUAAGUUUUUAUGGCCAAAUCAAAAGUCUAAAUGCAAAAAAAAACUAAUAAAAUUUAAAUCUAUUUCAGCACAAAAAAAUAUUACGGUUAAAUUUAGAGAAAUAAAUACAAUUCAAUAUAUUCAAGUAAUAACCAAUUCAACUAGAUAUUAUAUAUUCAAAUUACAUAUCUAAUUAAAAUAAUAUAAUAUUAUUCAUAAAAUAAUUAAAAUUUAAAUUAGAUACUAAUAAUUUUUUAAUAUAUUUAUUUUGUAAAAAUAUAUGUCCCUGCAUGAACACAAAAAAACACUUUUAUAUAGAGAAAUUAGGUGGGAUAUACACGAAAGAAGCCGAAAUUAGCUAAAUACCCGUUCCUUUGACCAAAAAAAAAGAGCUAAAUACCCGUUCCCUGUUUAGACCUCUAUGCACUUUAACACCCCUAUUCUCCCUAUAAUCCUAUGUAAUCCUAUGAUAGAUUUGCUGUCAGAAAUAAGAAGAUGUCGAUACGUAUAUCUUGAUAUAAUUAUUAAACCUACUCUAUACAAAUACUGAAAAGAGAAGUGAAAAGUCGAUAUUCACAUAUCUUAAAAAAUAGCUUUUUGUAUUCAAGAGACAUAUCUUCCCCAAGCGAAAGACAUCCGCGAGCAUCUUAUGGGAACACUAUGAAUGUUUCUUCAAGCGUACUACUUAUUCAUGAUCGUGUUUGAUUCACGCUCACCGCACCAAUUUGAUAGAACUCAAGUAUAUUUCUACCAAAAACAGAGGUGGACAGCUCGUUAGCUUCUCACGUGACAAUUCCUUUGCUCUUAUGAUCAUACCAAUCUCACACCGAUGCGUCUAUUUUUUUUUAAAGAGAUCUCUAACUUAUAUCUGAGAUGAAUCUAAAUACACAUACCACUAAUUGAGCACUUUUAUUGGUGAUCUCCUAAGAGCUUCAGAGACUUUUUUAUAUGAAAUAUGAUGAGAGAUUUUUUUUUUUUUGUG